GGCUGACCCAAACAUAUUGAAUUAUCUGAAUGGCAAGGAUGGUCAAUUGAAUUCCUUGGUCUAUAUUUUCUGCUUGUCCUAACUCUUCUCUCACUACUACACUUGAUUAGUCUUAA
RNAcentral lists this non-coding RNA (116 nucleotides) under Sorex araneus (European shrew). Lineage: Eukaryota; Metazoa; Chordata; Mammalia; Eulipotyphla; Soricidae. The record is from RNAcentral.